UAGCCGUAAACGAUACUCGCUAGGUGUCGGCCACGGUGCGACCGUUGUCGGUGCCGUAGGGAAGCCGUGAAGCGAGCCACCUGGGAAGUACGGCCGCAAGGCUGAAACUUAAAGGAAUUGGCGGGGGAGCACAACAACGGGUGGAGCUUGCGGUUUAAUUGGAUUCAACGCCGGAAAUCUUACCGGGACCGACAGGCAACAUGAAGGCCAAGCUGAAGACUUUGCCGGAUUAGCUGAGAGGUGGUGCAUGGCGUAGUCGUGU
This 262-nucleotide ribosomal RNA is filed under the name uncultured archaeon. RNAcentral describes it as "partial 16S ribosomal RNA". It matches the Rfam family "Archaeal small subunit ribosomal RNA", at positions 748 to 1009 of the family's 1478-position model. The record is from RNAcentral.